UUAUACAUGCAAGUCGAGGGGCAUCAGGUCUAAACCUAGUUUAGAUGCUGGCGACCGGCGCACGGGUGAGUAACGCGUACACUACCUACCUUGUACUGGGGAAUAGCCCUGGGAAACUGGGAUUAAUACUCCAUAGUAUCGAAAGAUUAAAGCUUUGGCGGUACGAGAUGGGUGUGCGUCUGAUUAGCUAGUUGGUGAGGUAACGGCAACACCAAGGCGACGAUCAGUAGGGGGCGUGAGAGCGUGACCCCCCACACGGGUACUGAGACACGGACCCGACUCCUACGGGAGGCAGCAGUAAGGAAUAUUGGACAAUGGGCGAAAGCCUGAUCCAGCCAUCCCGCGUGCAGGAUGAAGGCCCUAUGGGUUGUAAACUGCUUUUAUCUGGGAAGAAACCUGUUUAUUUAUAAGCAGCUGACGGUACCAGAGGAAUAAGCACCGGCUAACUCCGUGCCAGCAGCCGCGGUAAUACGGAGGGUGCAAGCGUUAUCCGGAAUCACUGGGUUUAAAGGGUGCGUAGGCGGCACGAUAAGUCAGGGGUGAAAGGCCGUAGCUUAACUAUGGGACUGCCUUUGAUACUGUUGUGCUUGAAUAGAGUUGAGGUUGGCGGAAUGUGGCAUGUAGCGGUGAAAUGCAUAGAUAUGCCAUAGAACACCGAUUGAGAAGUCAGCUGGCUAGACUCUUAUUGACGCUGAGGCACGAAAGCGUGGGGAUCAAACAGGAUUAGAUACCCUGGUAGUCCACGCCCUAAACGAUGCUUACUCGACGUGUGUCUUACGGGAUGCGCGUCCAAGGGAAACCGUUAAGUAAGCCACCUGGGGGAGUACGUUCGCAAGAAUGAAACUCAAAUGAAUUGACGGA
RNAcentral lists this ribosomal RNA (861 nucleotides) under uncultured bacterium. Its description in RNAcentral is "bacterial SSU rRNA". It matches the Rfam family "Bacterial small subunit ribosomal RNA", at positions 49 to 917 of the family's 1533-position model. The record is from RNAcentral.